UAUUGGACAAUGGGGGAAAGCCUGAUCCAGCAAUGCCGUGUGAGUGAUGAAGGCCCUAGGGUUGUAAAGCUCUCUUACCCGGGAUGAUAAUGACAGUACCGGGAGAAUAAGCUCCGGCUAACUCCGUGCCAGCAGCCGCGGUAAUACGGAGGGAGCAAGCGUUGUUCGGAAUUACUGGGCGUACAGCGCACGUAGGCGGCUUUGUAAGUCAGAGGUGAAAGCCUGGAGCUCAACUCCAAAAUUGCCUUUAAGACUGCUUCGCUUGAAUCCAGGAGAGGUGAGUGGAAUUCCGAGUGUAGAGGUGAAAUUCGUAGAUAUUCGGAAGAACACCAGUGGCGAAGGCGGCUCUACUGGAACUUGUAUUGACGCUGAGGUGCGAAG
RNAcentral lists this ribosomal RNA (381 nucleotides) under uncultured bacterium. RNAcentral's name for it is "bacterial SSU rRNA". It matches the Rfam family "Bacterial small subunit ribosomal RNA", at positions 362 to 758 of the family's 1533-position model. The record is from RNAcentral.